GUGGGGAAUAUUGGACAAUGGGGGGAACCCUGAUCCAGCCAUGCCGCGUGUGUGAAGAAGGCCUUUUGGUUGUAAAGCACUUUAAGCGAGGAGGAGGCUACCGAGAUUAAUACUCUUGGAUAGUGGACGUUACUCGCAGAAUAAGCACCGGCUAACUCUGUGCCAGCAGCCGCGGUAAUACAGAGGGUGCGAGCGUUAAUCGGAUUUACUGGGCGUCAAGCGUGCGUAGGCGGCUUUUUAAGUCGGAUGUGAAAUCCCUGAGCUUAACUUAGGAAUUGCAUUCGAUACUGGAAAGCUAGAGUAUGAGAGAGGAAGGUAGAAUUCCAGGUGUAGCGGUGAAAUGCGUAGAGAUCUGGAGGAAUACCGAUGGCGAAGGCAGCCAUCUGGCCUAAUACUGACGCUGAGGUACGAAAGCAUGGGGAGCAAACAGGAUUAGAUACCCCGGUAGUCC
This 451-nucleotide ribosomal RNA is filed under the name uncultured bacterium. RNAcentral's name for it is "bacterial SSU rRNA". It matches the Rfam family "Bacterial small subunit ribosomal RNA", at positions 354 to 796 of the family's 1533-position model. The record is from RNAcentral.